UUCAUUAUUUUGGAUUAGCCCAACCCACUACAGACAAACAGAUUGAAGAACUAGAAGGCCUUGGUUUGGUGGUUUGUUAAAUAUUUAUUUGGAAGCGUUUCACUUACAGUCAUUCUUCUUCUACCAUGUCAAAGACAUCAGCAGUGUGGCAGCAUUUUAUAAAAAUGGAAAAAAAGUCGAAUACAAAGUUUGUAUAUCACAGCCCGACUACAAACAUGGCAUAUCACCUAAAAACGCCAGGAAGGCCGCAGAGCCCAUCUCUGUCCUCCUCGCAUCCAAAUUUAAUGUGGCGGCCUGUGAGCUCCUGGGCCCCUUCACCUGGAAAAGGUCUAAUCAUAUUUGGCUACAUCUCUGGAGAGGAUAGCGAGGACAGACGCUCAGCUGCAUUCAUUCAAAUGGAUGGAACGAUGCAACUCUCCGGUUACAUCAGCGCCUUCUGCACCCAAGGCCACUGAUCCCUCCAGUCAACAUGGUGGACAGGAGGUCGUCUGGCUCGGGCUCCACUUGGUGAUGCCUCGUCCUGCUCGGUCGUCUCCUGGUUCCACUAACAUUGCAUAACUUGUAUCAGAUCUUCUGUUGAUGUACCUUGUAAACUGUGAAUUGUUGCUCUUUUCUGUACACGCAACAUCUAUUGCAUGUCUGUCCGUCCUGGAAGAGGGAUCCCUCCUCUGUGGCUCUUCCUGAGGUUUCUUCCAUUGUUUUUUUUUUACCCUGUUAAAAGGUUUUUUUUCCAUCAACAUGUGAAGUUUUUCCUCACUCGAAUCGAGGGUCUAAGGACAGAGGAUGUUGUUCACUGUACAGAUUGUAAAGCCCACUGAGGCAAUGUGAUUGUGAUUUUGGGCUAUAUAAAUAAAAUUGAUUUGAUUUGAUUUGAUUUGUAUACACUAUUAUCACAACACUUUUGUGUGCCCGGCUUUUCCUCUUUGAGGUGAGUUAGGGAAAAGG
Molecule: long non-coding RNA, 945 nt
Filed under: Sparus aurata (gilthead seabream)
Lineage: Eukaryota; Metazoa; Chordata; Actinopteri; Spariformes; Sparidae
Description: lncRNA (ENSSAUG00010017992.1)
Source: RNAcentral